RNAcentral lists this ribosomal RNA (253 nucleotides) under uncultured bacterium. RNAcentral's name for it is "partial 16S ribosomal RNA". It matches the Rfam family "Bacterial small subunit ribosomal RNA", at positions 524 to 776 of the family's 1533-position model. The record is from RNAcentral.
UACAGAGGUCUCAAGCGUUGUUCGGAUUCAUUGGGCGUAAAGGGUGCGUAGGUGGCGAGGUAAGUUGGAUGUGAAAUCCCGGGGCUCAACCCCGGAACUGCAUUCAAUACUGCCUUGCUAGAGUACUGGAGAGGAGAUUGGAAUUUACGGUGUAGCAGUGAAAUGCGUAGAUAUCGUAAGGAAGACCGGUGGCGAAGGCGGAUCUCUGGACAGUUACUGACACUGAGGCACGAAGGCCAGGGGAGCAAACGGG